This 1489-nucleotide long non-coding RNA is filed under the name Homo sapiens (human). Its description in RNAcentral is "long intergenic non-protein coding RNA 609". The record is from RNAcentral. Lineage: Eukaryota; Metazoa; Chordata; Mammalia; Primates; Hominidae.
GCCUGUCCUAGCUCCUGGUGGCAGCAGCAGUGGCUACAGCUGCAGCAGUGUGACAAAGGGGAGAGAAGGUCCUGCUGUCUAUGGGCAAGCCUGAGCACAGAGGCUGCUCUGCUGGUGGGGGUGGGGUCACUUCUCUCAGCCCCAGACUGUCAGCUCUCAGGAUUAUCCACCUCGGCUCCUGGUUGCAGCAACUGCUGUGGCAGUAUGUGGAGCGAGCACCUCUGGCUCCCAACUUCUCCUGACUGAGCUGGCCACUCGCUUCCUUCUCCUCUGUGCCUCAGGCGCUUGCUGAGACUUCUCUGUUGGACUCUAGUGCUCUCUCCUGGAUGUUCUAUUCGAGCUCUGCCGCACUAAGCUCUCUACAUGGCCGAGGCACCAGACCAGAAUGCGCCCUUUCGACAGGCAGAGAGAGCCAAAGGGGAAAAGAGCUGAGUCAAGGCUGCCAAGUUCCUGCUUCCAGCCCUACCAGCCGGUCACUCGCGCCUUGCAAUGAGGAAACCAGGAGUCCUAUCUAGAGCCUUUCCAUAGUUGUGGGAAAGAAGAUGGGUAAAGUUAUUGUUAAUCUACAGAGGAAGGAAUGAUGCCAAGUUUUUCAAGGCUUCCAGAGUCACAGGAGGAGUCACUUGGUAAAUCCAGGAGCAGAAACCAGGUACCAGUUGGAAGACCACAAUGUGUUUGUUCAGACCUGUGGGCCUCCUGGAUCCUUAGCAAAAGACCACACAGACAAGUGUUGAAUGCAGCUUUUAAAAGUAUGGAAGGGACAGUAAGACAGUUCUAAGCGUGGACUAGAAUAUAAUUUAAGGUUUCUGUGACACGGUGUUAGGACUCUUUCCUAGAAUUAUGAGAGCUGAACUAACAGCUCCCAGAUAACUGAAGCAUAAUAAUUAAUCUAGAAAAGCGGCCUCUUCUUUUCUGUGGUUGAACCUAAGUGUAGUUUUUACUUUUAACUAAAACUAGGUCAAUUAAGACCAUUGGAAUUCUGUGACUGAGGAUGUGUGGUGUUUAUUGGGGAUUUAAAAUAAGAUUUUUGUUCUUUUAUAAAUUUUAAUAUAAAUAGAUUGUUUUCCCUAUAGUAUUUAGUGUUAAUUAAUGGGGCUGACACAAUUAAUGGCAUCAAGAACAUAUAAUUAUGUUUAUUAUACUAAGAAAUUAUGCAAUUACGUAGUUGUUUAAUAGGUUAAGUGAUCUUAUAGAUAUUUUUAUCGUUUUUGCAACAGCUUUAUCCUGAUUUCUUUGUGAGAAAGCUUUUAAUGUUUCAAAAAUGUUGAGACAGACUUUUGUUAAAUUAAUCGCAUGAAAAAUAGUAUAUCUUUUUCAGUAACUGGGGAUUUUCAUAAAAGCCAUCAAAGAUAUAAUAUUAGAAGAUCUGCUGUUAAGAUAGCUGUUGUCAUAAAAAACUGUUGAUGAAUUUUGAAUUUUGACUAUUAACUGUCCAUGCUAAUCAGAUAUUCAGAGAACAAUAAACAGCAUUUGCUAAAUUCAUUUUUAA